UAAUUGAAGAGUUUGAUCAUGGCUCAGAUUGAACGCUGGCGGCAGGCCUAACACAUGCAAGUCGAACG
This 68-nucleotide ribosomal RNA is filed under the name Erwinia amylovora. RNAcentral describes it as "partial 16S ribosomal RNA". It matches the Rfam family "Bacterial small subunit ribosomal RNA", at positions 1 to 68 of the family's 1533-position model. RNAcentral also lists the same sequence under 1 other name. The record is from RNAcentral. Lineage: Bacteria; Pseudomonadati; Pseudomonadota; Gammaproteobacteria; Enterobacterales; Erwiniaceae.